Molecule: ribosomal RNA, 301 nt
Filed under: uncultured bacterium
Lineage: Bacteria
Description: partial 16S ribosomal RNA
Rfam family: Bacterial small subunit ribosomal RNA
Source: RNAcentral
CAGUCGCCGCGGGAACACGUAGGUGGCAAGCGUUGUCCGGAAUUAUUGGGCGUAAAGGGCUCGCAGGCGGUUUCUUAAGUCUGAUGUGAAAGCCCCCGGCUCAACCGGGGAGGGUCAUUGGAAACUGGGAAACUUGAGUGCAGAAGAAGAGAGUGGAAUUCCACGUGUAGCGGUGAAAUGCGUAGAGAUGUGGAGGAACACCAGUGGCGAAGGCGACUCUCUGGUCUGUAACUGACGCUGAGGAGCGAAAGCGUGGGGAGCGAACAGGAUUAGAUACCCCUGUAGUCCCUGUCUCUUAUAC